AAAGGACGAAGUUUUUCAAGGCAGGCAGUUCAGAGGUCGCGGGUUCGAUUCAUGGGACUCUUGGAAGGCAAGUCUUUCUCCUGGAAGGCAGGAUAUUUCCUGGAAGGCAGGAGUUCCUUGGAAGGCAAGGCGCAUACAUGGGUUUGACUCGCUCGGCACUUUGGCAGUUCAGUUGGGGGCUCUUGGACCCUGACCGAUUUGGGGCACAACCUGCGGUUUACCUGGUCUGCG
RNAcentral lists this long non-coding RNA (231 nucleotides) under Olea europaea subsp. europaea. The record is from RNAcentral. Lineage: Eukaryota; Viridiplantae; Streptophyta; Magnoliopsida; Lamiales; Oleaceae.